CAUGUAUCAGAUAUUAAACUGACAAGAACAGAUACUACACUUGAUCUUAGCCAAAAGGCCGAGAAAGGUAUACUCUAAAUCGUGCCCUUGACUCUCUUUUUAUUUCUUCCUGAACCGCCUUAGGUAUCUGGGCACGCGAUGUGGGAUUAA
This 150-nucleotide ribosomal RNA is filed under the name Triticum aestivum (bread wheat). RNAcentral describes it as "partial small subunit ribosomal RNA". The record is from RNAcentral. Lineage: Eukaryota; Viridiplantae; Streptophyta; Magnoliopsida; Poales; Poaceae.